This is a non-coding RNA of Salmo salar (Atlantic salmon), 58 nucleotides long. The record is from Rfam. NCBI's taxonomy places the organism in Eukaryota, Metazoa, Chordata, Actinopteri, Salmoniformes, Salmonidae.
UGGCUCAGUUGGUAGAGUAUGGUGUUUGCAACGCCAGGGUUGUGGGUUCGAUUCCCAU